This 510-nucleotide ribosomal RNA is filed under the name uncultured organism. RNAcentral's name for it is "SSU rRNA". It matches the Rfam family "Bacterial small subunit ribosomal RNA", at positions 1 to 509 of the family's 1533-position model. The record is from RNAcentral.
AACAGCUAGUAGUUUGAUCCUGGCUCAGGACGAACGCUGGCGGCGUGCCUAACACAUGCAAGUCGAACGGAGUGGUUUUGGAAGAUCCUUCGGGGUCGGAAGAUUUCACUUAGUGGCGGACGGGUGAGUAACGCGUGAGCAACCUGCCUUUCAGAGGGGGACAACAGUUGGAAACGACUGCUAAUACCGCAUGACAUAUAAUAGUCGCAUGGCUGAUAUAUCAAAGAUUUAUCGCUGAAAGAUGGGCUCGCGUCUGAUUAGAUAGUUGGUGGGGUAACGGCCCACCAAGUCGACGAUCAGUAGCCGGACUGAGAGGUUGAACGGCCACAUUGGGACUGAGAUACGGCCCAGACUCCUACGGGAGGCAGCAGUGGGGAAUAUUGGGCAAUGGGGGCAACCCUGACCCAGCAACGCCGCGUGAAGGAAGAAGGCUUUCGGGUUGUAAACUUCUUUACCAGGGACGAAGGACGUGACGGUACCUGGAGAAAAAGCCACGGCUAACUACGUGCC